Molecule: ribosomal RNA, 253 nt
Filed under: uncultured prokaryote
Description: partial 16S ribosomal RNA
Rfam family: Bacterial small subunit ribosomal RNA
Source: RNAcentral
ACGUAGGGUCCGAGCGUUGUCCGGAGUUACUGGGCGUAAAGCGCGCGCAGGCGGCUGGUCAAGCCCGGCGUGAAAGCCCCCGGCUCAACCGGGGAACGUCGUCGGGGACUGGGCAGCUUGAGGACGGCAGGGGUCGGUGGAAUUCACGGUGUAGCAGUGAAAUGCGUAGAUAUCGUGAGGAAGACCAGUGGCGAAGGCGGAUCUCUGGACAGUUCCUGACGCUGAGGCACGAAGGCCAGGGGAGCAAACGGGA